This 71-nucleotide transfer RNA is filed under the name Candidatus Pacearchaeota archaeon. RNAcentral describes it as "tRNA-Tyr". It matches the Rfam family "tRNA". From Rfam's summary of the family: Transfer RNA (tRNA) molecules are approximately 80 nucleotides in length. Their secondary structure includes four short double-helical elements and three loops (D, anti-codon, and T loops). Lineage: Archaea; Nanobdellati. The record is from RNAcentral.
CCCUUCAUAGCUCAACGGUAGAGCGUCCGGCUGUAGCCCGGAAUACCCAAGUUCGACUCUCGGUGAAGGGA